GACAGAGGGUGCAAACGUUGCUCGGAAUCACUGGGCGUAAAGGGCGUGUAGGCGGGAAGGAAAGUCAGAUGUGAAAUCCCUGGGCUCAACCCAGGAACUGCAUUUGAAACUCCCUUUCUUGAGUGUCGGAGAGGAAAGUGGAAUUCCUGGUGUAGAGGUGAAAUUCGUAGAUAUCAGGAGGAACACCGGUGGCGAAGGCAGCUCGCUGGGACGUGACUGACGCUGAGACGCGAAAGCGUGGGGAGCAAACAGG
RNAcentral lists this ribosomal RNA (253 nucleotides) under uncultured bacterium. Its description in RNAcentral is "partial 16S ribosomal RNA". It matches the Rfam family "Bacterial small subunit ribosomal RNA", at positions 524 to 776 of the family's 1533-position model. The record is from RNAcentral.